GGGGACAAAAGAGGGCACAGGAGGGGAGGGGGCUAAAGAGUGCAGAGGAAAGGAGGUGGUUAAAGAGGGCACAGGAGAGGGCUAAAGAGGGCACAGGAGGGAAUAGGGACUACAUAAGGGCACAGGAGGGGAGAAUGGCUACAUAAGGGGAAAGGAGGGAAGAGGGGCUACAGAGGACACAGGAGGGGAGGGGGCUAAAGAGGGCACAGAAGGUGGGCUACAUAAGCGGACAGGAGGGGAGAGGCUAAAGAGGGCACAGAAGGGGGG
Molecule: non-coding RNA, 267 nt
Organism: Pelobates cultripes (western spadefoot toad)
Lineage: Eukaryota; Metazoa; Chordata; Amphibia; Anura; Pelobatidae
Source: the annotation of a GenBank genome assembly